RNAcentral lists this ribosomal RNA (497 nucleotides) under uncultured bacterium. RNAcentral's name for it is "partial 16S ribosomal RNA". It matches the Rfam family "Bacterial small subunit ribosomal RNA", at positions 28 to 507 of the family's 1533-position model. The record is from RNAcentral.
GAUGAACGCUGGCGGCGUGCCUAAUACAUGCAAGUCGAGCGAACAGACGAGGAGCUUGCUCCUCUGACGUUAGCGGCGGACGGGUGAGUAACACGUGGAUAACCUACCUAUAAGACUGGGAUAACUUCGGGAAACCGGAGCUAAUACCGGAUAAUAUAUUUAACCGCAUGGUUCAAUAGUGAAAGACGGUUUUGCUGUCACUUAUAGUUGGAUCCGCGCCGCAUUAGCUAGUUGGUAAGGUAACGGCUUACCAAGGCGACGAUGCGUAGCCGACCUGAGAGGGUGAUCGGCCACACUGGAACUGAGACACGGUCCAGACUCCUACGGGAGGCAGCAGUAGGGAAUCUUCCGCAAUGGGCGAAAGCCUGACGGAGCAACGCCGCGUGAGUGAUGAAGGUCUUCGGAUCGUAAAACUCUGUUAUUAGGGAAGAACAAAUGUGUAAGUAACUAUGCACGUCUUGACGGUACCUAAUCAGAAAGCCACGGCUAACUACGUG